RNAcentral lists this ribosomal RNA (285 nucleotides) under uncultured bacterium. RNAcentral's name for it is "partial 16S ribosomal RNA". It matches the Rfam family "Bacterial small subunit ribosomal RNA", at positions 334 to 611 of the family's 1533-position model. The record is from RNAcentral.
AAGUCCUACGGGGGGCAGCAGUAGGGAAUCUUCCACAAUGGACGAAAGUCUGAUGGAGCAACGCCGCGUGAGUGAAGAAGGGUUUCGGCUCGUAAAGCUCUGUUGGUAGUGAAGAAAGAUAGAGGUAGUAACUGGCCUUUAUUUGACGGUAAUUACUUAGAAAGUCACGGCUAACUACGUGCCAGCAGCCGCGGUAAUACGUAGGUGGCAAGCGUUGUCCGGAUUUAUUGGGCGUAAAGGGCGUGUAGGCGGGGACGCCAGUCAGAUGUGAAAACCACGGGGUCA